RNAcentral lists this ribosomal RNA (253 nucleotides) under uncultured bacterium. RNAcentral describes it as "partial 16S ribosomal RNA". It matches the Rfam family "Bacterial small subunit ribosomal RNA", at positions 524 to 776 of the family's 1533-position model. The record is from RNAcentral.
UACGAAGGGGGCUAGCGUUGUUCGGAAUUACUGGGCGUAAAGCGCACGUAGGCGGAUAUUUAAGUCAGGGGUGAAAUCCCGGGGCUCAACCCCGGAACGGCCUUUGAUACUGGAUGUCUUGAGUCCGGAAGAGGUGAGUGGAAUUGCGAGUGUAGAGGUGAAAUUCGUAGAUAUUCGCAAGAACACCAGUGGCGAAGGCGGCUCACUGGCCCGAUACUGACGCUGAGGCACGAAAGCGUGGGGAGCAAACAGG